RNAcentral lists this long non-coding RNA (493 nucleotides) under Malus domestica (apple). RNAcentral describes it as "long non-coding RNA (MDOM_LNC013019)". The record is from RNAcentral. Lineage: Eukaryota; Viridiplantae; Streptophyta; Magnoliopsida; Rosales; Rosaceae.
UGCAGUAAUAGAGAUACUAGAAGGUUGAUAAGGGGAAUUUGGGAUAAAUGAGACAAAUCUAUUUUCUGGAGUAACUAUAGGCACAUGACAGUUGAAACUAGGACAAACUUGUGGUGAUGAAACUGUGUUGUAAGAUGUAGUCAAUAAUUCUGUGUAGGGAAAAUGUUGUUCAUAAAAAAUAACAUGCCUAGAAACAAACACUUUAUUUGUAGACACAUGAUAGCACAGAUAGCCUUUAUAUUUUGGCAUACCCAAGACACACACACUUUGUGGUUUUAGCUUGUAAUUUGGUACUAUUAUUGUUGGAAGUAUGCCCACAAAGCCACUCAUUUGAUGUAAUAGCUUUUUGGAAUACUUAAUGUAUUAAACUUUUAUAUGUUUAAUGAAGGGCAAAGCUUAUUGUUAAUCACUAUUUAUUGUAUCAUGUGCUUAAGUAAUAAGGGAAUCCAAGGGAUGUAUUUGAUCUAAGAGACAAGUGAUCUAAGUGAGUUAG